CCCUUAGAUGUUCUGGGCCGCACGCGCGCUACACUGAUGCAUUCAACGAGUUUCUUCCUGGUCCGAGAGGAAUGGGUAACCUUUUGAAAGUGCAUCGUGAUAGGGAUAGACUAUUGCAAUUAUUGGUCUUCAACGAGGAAUUCCUAGUAGACGUAGUUCAUCAGACUGCAUCGAUUACGUCCCUGCCCUUUGUACACACCGCCCGUCGCUCCUACCGAUUGAAUGCUCAGGUGAGCCAUUCGGACUUUCAUCAUGCUGGUUUCCUGUUUUGAUGAAGGAAAGUCUUGCGAACCUUAUCAUUUAGAGGAAGGAGAAGUCGUAACA
RNAcentral lists this ribosomal RNA (324 nucleotides) under uncultured eukaryote. Its description in RNAcentral is "partial 18S ribosomal RNA". It matches the Rfam family "Eukaryotic small subunit ribosomal RNA", at positions 1470 to 1796 of the family's 1831-position model. The record is from RNAcentral.